CAUCUUCCUGAAUUCAAAUCUGACUUCAGUUACUUACCAGCUGUGUGACCCUCAGUUUUUUCAUCUGUAAAAUAAGCUAGAAAAAAAAAGAAAGGUGAAUCAUUUCAGUAUCUCUGCCAAGAAAACCCCAAGUUGAGUUGUGAAGAGUUGGUCAUGACUGAAACAACUCAGCAGCAGCAGCAACAACAACACAACAACAGCAAACAACAGCACUGGUUGUUCUCCUUUAUUCAGCAAAUUUAUUUAUAUUUGCUCUGAAGAGCCUCCAAAACACUGAGUUGGUUCUAGUAAUGUGUGUAUCAACCUCAUUGUCGAUUUGUACACCCUUGGAAAGUAUACUGUCAAGUUCCUCAUUUGUAAAAUGAAUUGAAGAAGGAAAUGGAAAACCAUUCCAGUAUCUGCCAAGAAAACGCCAAAUGGAGUCAUAAAGAGUUGGACAUGACUGAAAUGACUCAAUGAAAGAAUACAAGUUUUUGAAGAGUUCAAAUUCUUUUUUUUUCUCAAUAGUAUUUUAUUUUUUUUUCAAAUACACAUAAAGAUAAUUGUAAACAUUCAUUUCUGUAAGAUUUUGUGUUCCAAUUUUUUUCUCUUCUUCUAUCCCACCACCUUCCUCCUCCAAAUAGUAAGCAAUCCAAUAUAGAUCAAACAUGUACGAUCCUUCUAAACAUAAUUUGGUAUCUGUCAUGUUGUACAAGAAAAACCAGACCAAAAGGAGAAAAGCUAUUAGAAAGAAAAAGUAAACAAACAAACAAUAAAUGAAUAGUCCAUAGUUCUCCCUCUGGAUGCUGAUGGCAUUUUCCAUUCCGAGUCUAUUGGAAUUAUCUUGAAUCUCUGCAUUUCUGAGAAGAGCUAAGUCAAUCAUAAUUAAUCAUCGCAUAAUUUUACUGUUCUUAUCUACAAUGUUUGCUUGAUUUUGCUCACAUUAUCUAGCAGCAGUUUGUAUAGUCUUUUCUAGUCUCUUCAUUUCUUAUAGAACAUUACAUUCAUUAUUUAGCCAUUCCCCAACAUAUGGGCAUCCCCUCAAUUUCUAAUUCCUUGUCACUACAAAAAGAGCUUGUACAUGUGGGUCAUUUUCUCUCUUCUAUGAUCUUUUUAGGAUACAGAUGCUGUAGAGACAUUGCUGGAU
Molecule: long non-coding RNA, 1126 nt
Organism: Antechinus flavipes (yellow-footed antechinus)
Lineage: Eukaryota; Metazoa; Chordata; Mammalia; Dasyuromorphia; Dasyuridae
Exons: 3
Source: RefSeq, a predicted model, not a curated record